UUGUAUUUUCUUUUGCCCGGGCUUUCCAUCCCAGUCAACACACAGUAUCUAUCUAAAAAAUACACUACUCUGCCCUAAUCCGAGAGAGAGGCGCUAGGCAGGAGAUUCAUAUUUAAGCUCAAGAAACUCUCGAGCUCUAAGAUUCAACCUGGAAAAACCAAUCAAGCUCGGACAACAAGCUCAGAGGAUCUUGGACCACGGUUGUCUGCUGCGCAUUUUGUGAGUAUUAUCUCAUCAUAUGCUUGUAGAGGUCCUUAAAAGAAUAAGAAAAACAUAAAUGAUAUAUGCAUUUUUUUUGAUAAAGAGUCUUCUAGGAACCAAGCUAGUUUUGACCAGUCACCUUUCUCCUGUGAGCUUGUUUCUAGAAAGAAAGGGUUAGUCUUUACAUACCCUGGUUUUUGUAGGUCUACCCACCAACUUCGGUCAGCCCAACCAAUAAAGAUCAAAUUGAAAACAAGAGAGUGUUUCAAGUGAAGUACUCUUAUCCAUCAGCUUUGUACCAUGAUGAGCACAAAAAUGAGAUAGUGAAGCGCUUGUAAGCUAGGAAACACAUCCGUGGAAUGACUGGUGAUGGAGUAAAUGAUGUUCCUGCUCUUAAAAAGGUUGAUAUUGGAAUUGUUGCGGCUGAUGCAACUGAUGCAGCACGUAGUGCUUCUGAUAUUGUCCUUACUAAACCAUGACUCAGUGUUAUCAUUAGUGAUGCAUUGACCAGUCGUGCAAUCUUUUAAAGAAUGAAAAACUAUAUGGACCUUAAAGGAAACAUCAUAAUAGUAGGGUAAAAACAUCAGCUGCAACUACAUUGGUCGCAGUUGAAUCCCAGUAGCACAGCCUGGAAUUUCAAAGGUUUCGUAGAAUCCCAGCAACAAAGACUGACUAGAAAGCAUGCAUAUAUGAGAACGAAGAAAAGAAUAAUAGUGUUAUGUUCUAGAAAUUUGAAGAAAAAUAAAUACAAGGAUGACAGUCUUCUUGACUUAAUUAGUUUUAAUUAUCUCCGUCUAGAGUACAUACUUUUAUUUAGAUUCUGCCUUAAACUUUAUUGACUAAUUUAUGUAUGCGACUUAAAUUUGGAAAGGUUUGUAAAACUUUGUAACGGUCAUGGUACCGCUUUUGGAUUGUUGGCUACUUGAUACUAAUUGGGAUUCUGAAUAGACGAUUGAAAUCUGUGGCUAUAUAUGCCUAGCUA
Long non-coding RNA from Daucus carota subsp. sativus, 1183 nucleotides. RefSeq lists it as uncharacterized. The transcript is spliced from 5 exons. The record is from RefSeq and is a predicted model, not a curated record. NCBI's taxonomy places the organism in Eukaryota, Viridiplantae, Streptophyta, Magnoliopsida, Apiales, Apiaceae.